This 785-nucleotide ribosomal RNA is filed under the name Companilactobacillus farciminis. RNAcentral describes it as "bacterial SSU rRNA". It matches the Rfam family "Bacterial small subunit ribosomal RNA", at positions 58 to 823 of the family's 1533-position model. Lineage: Bacteria; Bacillati; Bacillota; Bacilli; Lactobacillales; Lactobacillaceae. The record is from RNAcentral.
CAUCCUGAAGAUUGAAGCUUGCUUCAUGAUUCAGAUUUUGGUGAGUGGCGGACGGGUGAGUAACACGUGGGUAACCUGCCCAAAAGUGGGGGAUAACAUUUGGAAACAAGUGCUAAUACCGCAUAACAACUACUUUCACAUGAUCGUAGCUUGAAAGAUGGCUCUGCUAUCGCUUUUGGAUGGACCCGCGGCGUAUUAGCUAGUUGGUGAGGUAAUAGCUCACCAAGGCAAUGAUACGUAGCCGACCUGAGAGGGUAAUCGGCCACAUUGGGACUGAGACACGGCCCAAACUCCUACGGGAGGCAGCAGUAGGGAAUCUUCCACAAUGGGCGAAAGCCUGAUGGAGCAAUGCCGCGUGAGUGAAGAAGGUUUUCGGAUCGUAAAACUCUGUUGUUGAAGAAGAACAUGCGUGAGAGUAACUGUUCGCGUACUGACGGUAUUCAACCAGAAAGCCACGGCUAACUACGUGCCAGCAGCCGCGGUAAUACGUAGGUGGCAAGCGUUGUCCGGAUUUAUUGGGCGUAAAGAGAAUGUAGGCGGUUUAUUAAGUUUGAAGUGAAAGCCCUCGGCUCAACCGAGGAAGUGCUUCGAAAACUGGUAAACUUGAGUGCAGAAGAGGAAAGUGGAACUCCAUGUGUAGCGGUGGAAUGCGUAGAUAUAUGGAAGAACACCAGUGGCGAAGGCGGCUUUCUGGUCUGUAACUGACGCUGAGAUUCGAAAGCAUGGGUAGCAAACAGGAUUAGAUACCCUGGUAGUCCAUGCCGUAAACGAUGAGUGCUAGUGUU